UCCAUUGUAGUCUAGUUGGUUAGGAUGCUCGGCUCUCACCUGAGAGACCUAUGUUUAAGUCCUAGCGAUGAAA
Molecule: transfer RNA, 73 nt
Filed under: Capsicum annuum
Lineage: Eukaryota; Viridiplantae; Streptophyta; Magnoliopsida; Solanales; Solanaceae
Rfam family: tRNA
About the family: Transfer RNA (tRNA) molecules are approximately 80 nucleotides in length.
Source: Rfam by way of RNAcentral